This 67-nucleotide ribosomal RNA is filed under the name uncultured Clavariaceae. RNAcentral's name for it is "partial 5.8S ribosomal RNA". It matches the Rfam family "5.8S ribosomal RNA", at positions 49 to 115 of the family's 154-position model. Rfam says of the family: 5.8S ribosomal RNA (5.8S rRNA) is a component of the large subunit of the eukaryotic ribosome. It is transcribed by RNA polymerase I as part of the 45S precursor that also contains 18S and 28S rRNA. Lineage: Eukaryota; Fungi; Basidiomycota; Agaricomycetes; Agaricales; Clavariaceae. The record is from RNAcentral.
CGAAUUGCGAUAUGUAAUGUGAAUUGCAGAAUUCAGUGAAUCAUCGAAUCUUUGAACGCACCUUGCG